GGUGUGUUUGGUCGAUUAAAAACGCAGGGAACGAGCAGGAGCUUCACACAAACCCUAACUCUCACUAAAUCAAUCAAUUGAAGGCUCUAAUCUGGUCCAAAUCGAAAUCCGAGCACGUAUUAGUGAUCCCCACUGAAAAAGGAGUCACAAGUUUGACUCUGACAAGCUAGGUAGGAGCUUGGAAAUGAACGGGUCAAAUGGAUACAAGUUCAAGUAUGAAGCUCGCAAGGAUGCAAGGUAAGUAUAACUUACACUAGUCGUAUAUUUUAGAAUGUUCUUUUGUCGUAUUGACUACGAAUAAGACAAAUGGUAAUUUAGUCACACGUUGACAAUAAUCGUUAGUUUUAAAAGACGCUUUCCCGCGUAAGACAUAAAGAGCCGAAAGUGGUAAUAAACGGUUUAUAAAUAAAAUGAGCAUACGGUGUUAAAAGGAGCGAGUCAUGUAGAUGAGAUGAUAAUAAAUAUUAUCUCGCAAAGAUAAACGGUCAAUUCGGCCAAACGGGUCAAAAGGACACUCGCGUUUGAAGAUGACGAGAGUUGAACAGAUUGUGGAUAUCCAAUGGAUACUCGCAUCGCUCUUAAUUAGCAAUUAUAAAGCAAGGUAUUAAACCGGGUUAGUAAGUUGAUCCGAGCCAGGUAUGUAUAAUAGAUUAACUCAUCAUGUAGAACUUGAAGUUCUAUGAAAGUUAGGCAAAAUAAAAAAAAGGGCAUUCGGUUACCUUAAUAGGUAAACCGAAGGAUUUAAAUUAUUUAGACAGAAUGUUUUGAAAACAAGAUUUGGUUAAAAAUGAGAAAUUAGAAUCAAACAACAGGUUUGUUUGAUAAAAUCACGAACGGGUCAAAUUUGGUAAAAAGGGUUAAUAAGCCGAAGACUUAAAAGUCUUAAAUUUUGUUAAUCCAGAUGUUGGGUCUUGACUCCAUUUGAUGGAGGUUCAAUUUACAAUCACGUAGGAAGAAACGGUAGGUCAAAUGGACAAGCGGAUUAAAAGUUAUGAAGGUUUCCGUUUUAGAAAUCGGCAAACUUGGAAAAUCUUGCAGAGGCCACCGUAAGUUACGGUAGCUACCGUAACUUACGGUAGCCUUAAAAAUCUUUACGCCUUAAACCCACUGACUUACGGUGGAAGAAUCAACAUUCAGGGGCUACCGUAAAUUACGGUAGCCACCGUAAUUUACGGUAGACCCUGUAACAAAAUUUAUUUUAAUCAGUUUCGUUUCCCAGAACUCGUUAGACACGUUUAUAACCCCCGUAAGACUAAAGCAUUUCUUGUUUAUGAAAUGUAGGUACAUUUUGGAUGCUGGAAGAUGAUCAAGCUCAUUGGAGAACCGAACACGAUAUAGAUACACGCUUCCGCACAUUGCCACGUUGUAAAUUUUAAACAACGAACUCAAUUACGUUUGUUGGAUAACUUAUGAUUUGUAAAAGUUUUAAUAAACCCGCAUUUUGUACAGUAUGUGUGGUCUUAACUACACAUCUAAUUGUGGUAUUUUCAUGUAAAAUUGUAAUUUAGUAACUAGGGUGU
This 1520-nucleotide long non-coding RNA is filed under the name Helianthus annuus (common sunflower). RNAcentral describes it as "hypothetical non coding rna". Lineage: Eukaryota; Viridiplantae; Streptophyta; Magnoliopsida; Asterales; Asteraceae. The record is from RNAcentral.